Molecule: ribosomal RNA, 545 nt
Filed under: Peptococcus sp. oral clone 25-78
Lineage: Bacteria; Bacillati; Bacillota; Clostridia; Eubacteriales; Peptococcaceae
Description: bacterial SSU rRNA
Rfam family: Bacterial small subunit ribosomal RNA
Source: RNAcentral
AGAGUUUGAUCAUGGCUCAGGACAAACGCUGGUGGCAUGCCUAACACAUGCAAGUCGAACGGACGGAACAGGGAAGCCCUUCGGAGUGGAACUGGAAAGUUAGUGGCGGAUGGGUGAGUAACGCGUGGACAACCUACCUUGUAAAGGGGAAUAACCUCGAGAAAUCGAAGCUAAUACCCCAUAAUAACCUUGAUUCGCAUGAAGCAAGGAGGAAAGGCGGCCUUAGCGCUGUCGAUAGAAGAUGGGUCCGCGUCUGAUUAGCUAGUUGGUGAGGUAAAGGCUCACCAAGGCGACGAUCAGUAGCCGGCCUGAGAGGGUGAACGGCCACAUUGGGACUGAGACACGGCCCAAACUCCUACGGGAGGCAGCAGUGGGGAAUCUUCCGCAAUGGGCGAAAGCCUGACGGAGCAAUGCCGCGUGAGUGAAGAAGGCCUUCGGGUUGUAAAACUCUGUCCUAGACGAAGAGAGAGUAUUGUAGUAACUGACAAUACUAGGACGGUAGACUAGGAGGAAGCCCCGGCUAACUAUGUGCCAGCAGCCGCGGU